Molecule: ribosomal RNA, 350 nt
Filed under: Minisyncoccota bacterium
Lineage: Bacteria; Bacillati; Minisyncoccota
Description: bacterial SSU rRNA
Rfam family: Bacterial small subunit ribosomal RNA
Source: RNAcentral
UUAUAGUAGAGUUUGAUCCUAGCUCAGGAUGAACGCUGGCGGCGUGGAUAAGGCAUGCAAGUCGAACGGACUUUAUUUUUCCAGAGAAUGAGAUUACAUCAAGUUCAAAGGUCGUUUAAAGUUAGUGGCGAACGAGGUAGUAAUACACAGGAAUGUACCCCUGAGUCGCGAACAACACAUCGAAAGGUGUGCUAAUACGCGAUAGUCUCUCAGGAGUAAAGUUUUUCGCUUAGGGAACAGCCUGUGAAGUAUCAGCUAGUUGGCAGUGUAAUGGACUACCAAGGCUAUGACGCUUAGGGGAGGUGAGAGCCUGACCCCCACCGAUGGGACUGAGACACGGCCCAUACACC